RNAcentral lists this ribosomal RNA (495 nucleotides) under uncultured bacterium. RNAcentral describes it as "partial 16S ribosomal RNA". It matches the Rfam family "Bacterial small subunit ribosomal RNA", at positions 28 to 507 of the family's 1533-position model. The record is from RNAcentral.
GACGAACGCUGGCGGCGUGCCUAAUACAUGCAAGUAGAACGCUGAAGGAGGAGCUUGCUUCUCUGGAUGAGUUGCGAACGGGUGAGUAACGCGUAGGUAACCUGCCUGGUAGCGGGGGAUAACUAUUGGAAACGAUAGCUAAUACCGCAUAAUAGCAGUUGUUGCAUGACAACUGUUUGAAAGGUGCAAAUGCAUCACUACCAGAUGGACCUGCGUUGUAUUAGCUAGUUGGUGGGGUAAAGGCUCACCAAGGCGACGAUACAUAGCCGACCUGAGAGGGGGAUCGGCCACACUGGGACUGGGACCCGGCCCAGACUCCUACGGGAGGCAGCAGUAGGGAAUCUUCGGCAAUGGGCGGAAGUCUGACCGAGCAACGCCGCGUGAGUGAAGAAGGUUUUCGGAUCGUAAAGCUCUGUUGUAAGAGAAGAACGAGUGUGAGAGUGGAAAGUUCACACUGUGACGGUAUCUUACCAGAAAGGGACGGCUAACUACGUG